AGAGUUUGAUCCUGGCUCAGAACGAACGCUGGCGGCAUGCCUAAUACAUGCAAGUCGAACGCGUCUAGCAAUAGACGAGUGGCGGACGGGUGAGUAACGCGUGGGAACCUGCCCUUGAGUGCGGGAUAACCGAGGGAAACUUCGGCUAAUACCGCAUGCGCCCCGAGCAAUCGGGGGAAAGAUUUAUCGCUCGAGGAGGG
Molecule: ribosomal RNA, 200 nt
Filed under: uncultured bacterium
Lineage: Bacteria
Description: partial 16S ribosomal RNA
Rfam family: Bacterial small subunit ribosomal RNA
Source: RNAcentral